Molecule: ribosomal RNA, 748 nt
Filed under: uncultured bacterium
Lineage: Bacteria
Description: bacterial SSU rRNA
Rfam family: Bacterial small subunit ribosomal RNA
Source: RNAcentral
GGAAUUCGCCCUUAGAGUUUGAUCCUGGCUCAGGACGAACGCUGGCGGCGUGCCUAACACAUGCAAGUCGAGCGAGGUGCUUAUGAUGAAAUCUUCGGAUUGAUUCAUAAACCACUUAGCGGCGGACUGGUGAGUAACACGUAAGCAACCUGCCUAUCAGAGGGGAACAACAGUUAGAAAUGACUGCUAAUACCGCAUAUGCCUCAAUCUUCGCAUGGAGAAAGAGGGAAAGAAGUAAUUCGCUGAUAGAUGGGCUUGCGUCUGAUUAGAUAGUUGGUAAGGUAAUGGCUUACCAAGUCGACGAUCAGUAGCCGGACUGAGAGGUUGAACGGCCACAUUGGGACUGAGACACGGCCCAGACUCCUACGGGAGGCAGCAGUAGGGAAUAUUGCACAAUGGGGGAAACCCUGAUGCAGCCAUGCCGCGUGUGUGAAGAAGGCCUUCGGGUUGUAAAGCACUUUCGGAGGGGAGGAACAAAUGACGUUACCCUCAGAAGAAGCACCGGCUAACUCCGUGCCAGCGGCCGCGGUAAUACGGAGGGUGCAAGCGUUAAUCNGAAAUAACUGGGCGUAAAGGGCAUGCCGGCGGUCAGACAAGUAGGAUGUGAAAUCUUGGGGCUCAACCUCAGAACUGCAUUUCUAACUGUUCAACUAGAGUAUUGCGGGGGGAAACGGAAAUUUCAGGGUGUAGCGGUGGGAUUGCGUAAAUUUCUGAAAAAACCCCUAAGGGGGAAGGGCGGUCUCCUGGG